Molecule: ribosomal RNA, 309 nt
Filed under: uncultured soil bacterium
Lineage: Bacteria
Description: bacterial SSU rRNA
Rfam family: Bacterial small subunit ribosomal RNA
Source: RNAcentral
AGAUUGAACGCUGGCGGCAGGCCUAACACAUGCAAGUCGAGCGGUAGAGAGGUGCUUGCACCUCUUGAGAGCGGCGGACGGGUGAGUAAAGCCUAGGAAUCUGCCUGGUAAUGGGGGAUAACGCGUCGGAAACGGACGCUAAUACCGCAUACGUCCUACGGGAGAAGCGGGGGACCUUCGGGCCUCGCGCCAUUAGAUGAGCCGUAGGUCGGAUUAGCUAGUGGUGAGUAAUGGCUCACCAAGGCGACGAUCCGUAACUGGUACUGAGAGGAUGGAUUCGAGUCACACGUGGAACUGAGACACGGUCAG